Molecule: long non-coding RNA, 1538 nt
Organism: Mustela lutreola (European mink)
Lineage: Eukaryota; Metazoa; Chordata; Mammalia; Carnivora; Mustelidae
Exons: 4
Source: RefSeq, a predicted model, not a curated record
CGAUCUCACUUUUGGAAAGUACUGCGUUUGCAACGAGAACAGCGAUCUCCCACAAGGGACCUGGUUCCGGAAAGUGAACCCCCGAACCCUCGAGAGUCCGGCCUCCCACAACGCGCCUGGGAGGGCUGCGCAGAUGCAGGUAUUGAAGAUUCAGAGAAAUGACAUAGAACCUCCUUUCAAGAACGCUUUGAGAGUGCUGCAAGUACAGAGAUGGCAAGUGCUCAUCAUGCUGGUGUGGACUAUGUGGAAGAUAGAUCUAUUGAGAAGAUAGAAGACUUACUUUCAUCAUCUGAAUCAAAUCCAAAGAGUGUCUGACAUUUCUUUUGUGCAAGGUUGACUAGACAUGAAAAAAAGAAAACUUUAUGGUAACUAUGAACUUCACCUAUGUUAUGAACUUUUUAUAACAAUCUUACAACUUGUGGUGCAAAUCAGAAUCCUAUGUAAAAAUUACGUAUGAUACUUUUUUUUUUUUUUUUAAGUUUUACAGGUGAUUCUGGUGCACUUCAAAUGUUGAAAAGGAUUCUAUAGCAUACUUUUGUUUUCCCCUUUUUGAGGGGGAUAGAGGUUAACUUUGACAAUGCAUUUGAAUGACAUUCUACUAUUUAAUAAUGAAGCUAUGAAUCCAGUUAGUAAAUAGGAAAUGUAUAAAACUUUGAAUACAAUGCUGCUAACUUUAUAUCAGAGGGAUAUAAUCACUACAUGGUCAUACACCUAAUGAGUGACAUGAUAAUGUGAUAAAUGCAUAAUUAGAUUAAAAAAUUUUAAAUAUAUUAUUUAAUGGGUGCCUCUUAUAUAUUUAAAAGUAACCCACACAGAGAUUCAGCUAAAUGGAGCUACCUAAAGUGUAUGGUAGCUUUAUCUUUCUCAUCUUUGUAUUCAAAGUUCUGUUAAUAUUUGAGGGGAAAAAGUUAAAAGAUCUGCAGGAUCCCAUUUCAUGUUUAUGUAAGAAUCUUAUGUACAACUGUACCCACUUUUAAGUGAACCAUGAAGAACUUACUUCAGGAUUAUUUUUAAAAACAGGUAAUGGAUUUCACAAUUACUUUAAACAAAUACUCUGAAAAUGUGUCAGGUUUCAGAAAUGCCUCAAAAUUCACUGUUCCUUUUUAUCUGAACACCAAACUUAAAACUAUGAACUGUAUUUUUCUGUGAAAGUGAGCAGGUAUUACCUAUGGUUAUACAAAAUUCAUUUGCAAAUAAGAGUUUGCAAACAGGACUUAGAAUAGUUUUAAAAGUGAUAAACUUAUUUAAGAAAAGAGGGAACAGCUUCUUAUGGAAGCAGCUGUUCCCAUAUUAAAUUUUAAGUAACACCAAACUGGCAGUUUUUCUGUCUUUUUUUCAGUUAUUUUUACUUAUGUAUACCCUUAGUACCAUGUUGGAAGUUUGAGGUUGGGGGAAAGGAAAGACCUAAUACAUGGAGAAUGUAGCCUUAAAAUCCUCCUUCCCUUCAAAUAAAUUUUAUCAUAAAAGAUUCAAGAUUUGGUGAACCGUCAUUUAAAAUUCAUUUAAAAUUAAGGGAUAAAUAUAUCCUAUUUACCUCA